CAGUAGAGUGACCUCUGGUGCUGUUGUUGCGCAAAAAUUUGUAGCAGGCGAACCAACACAAACCAGCAGCAAAAUGGUCCCUCCAGUGGCAGUGUCACCGCUUAUUAAGACCGCAAGGUACUCAGCUUUGUUAGCUGGUAUAGUAUUUGGCAAGAGGAGAUAUGAUGAACUAAAGCCUAUUGCUGCAGAGGAAAGAAGGAUUGAGGAAGAGGAGAAGAAGGUUCGUGAAGAACAAGAGAAAAUUGCCAAGGCGCUAGCAGAAGCCAGUGAAGAGUCGAUUUUGAAAUGAGCUGGCACUGGGAGAAGUUACUGUGAAGCUCUUCACACUGCUCCUGUAUUUUUCCACUCUUAUUUUCCUGGAUAUACUUGGUCCAAAACUCUCCGGCACAGUUAUUUUACUGACGUGUGCAGUCUAACCGAUAAACCCUCACUUGGUCUGGAGACCAAAUAUAGUUUUUUGUAGUCAUUUACAUGACAUAUAAAAUAAUGGCUUGCUAUUUGGAUUUAACUGUAAUAUCACAAAUGCACUAUUGUAAGUCAAGUUUAAAUGUUUGUACCCUUGUUACACACCCUCAUGACAUUGUCAUACAUACUACUUGAUAAAUAAAUGGUAAAUAUUUAUUCUCUUUGAAUCA
This is a long non-coding RNA of Oncorhynchus masou masou (cherry salmon), 635 nucleotides long. RefSeq lists it as uncharacterized. The record is from RefSeq and is a predicted model, not a curated record. The transcript is spliced from 4 exons. NCBI's taxonomy places the organism in Eukaryota, Metazoa, Chordata, Actinopteri, Salmoniformes, Salmonidae.